This 484-nucleotide ribosomal RNA is filed under the name uncultured bacterium. RNAcentral describes it as "partial 16S ribosomal RNA". It matches the Rfam family "Bacterial small subunit ribosomal RNA", at positions 30 to 507 of the family's 1533-position model. The record is from RNAcentral.
AUUGAACGCUGGCGGCAGGCCUAACACAUGCAAGUCGAGCGGAUGAAGGGAGCUUGCUCCUGGAUUCAGCGGCGGACGGGUGAGUAAUGCCUAGGAAUCUGCCUGGUAGUGGGGGAUAACGUCCGGAAACGGGCGCUAAUACCGCAUACGUCCUGAGGGAGAAAGUGGGGGAUCUUCGGACCUCACGCUAUCAGAUGAGCCUAGGUCGGAUUAGCUAGUUGGUGGGGUAAAGGCCUACCAAGGCGACGAUCCGUAACUGGUCUGAGAGGAUGAUCAGUCACACUGGAACUGAGACACGGUCCAGACUCCUACGGGAGGCAGCAGUGGGGAAUAUUCGACAAUGGGCGAAAGCCUGAUCCAGCCAUGCCGCGUGUGUGAAGAAGGUCUUCGGAUUGUAAAGCUCUUUAAGUUGGGAGGAAGGGCAGUAAGUUAAUACCUUGCUGUUUUGACGUUACCAACAGAAUAAGCACCGGCUAACUUCGUG